AUGGCGAUCGAGACGGAGCCCGCCGCGCCGCCCGGCCUCCUGGGCCCCCCGGUAGUGCGCGGCGCGCGCCCGCCCGCCGACCCCGCGUUGCACCCCUUCCUCGACCUCCUCGACGCGGCCAUCAAGGCGGCGCUGACGCUGACACCGUGGCGGGCACGGGCGCUGACGCCGUGGCGGGCGCUCACGGAGAACUACUCGCUUGCGUACGCCAACUCGGGCAACCCCUGCCUCGACUUCUUCUUCCAGGUGGUGCCCGACACGCCAGCCGAGCGCGUGCGCGGCCUGCUCGCCGCCGCCUGGGCCCACGACGCGCUCACGGCGCUCAAGCUCGCCUGCAACCUCCGCGGCGUCCGCGGCACCGGCAAGUCGGACAAGGAGGGCUUCUACGCGGCCGCACUCUGGAUGCACGAGCACAACCCCCGGACGCUCGCCUGCAACAUCGCCGCGCUCGCCGAGUUUGGCUACCUCAAGGACUUCCCCGAGCUGCUCUUCCGCCUCAUCCACGGCCCCGACGUGCGCAAGGUUGCCAAGGCGGCCGCCGAGGCCGAGAAAGCGCGGAAGAAGGAGAAGGCGCUCGGCCACAGGCGGGCGGCCCUCCGCACCAGGUUGGCCAGCCGGCGGAGAAGGAGAAGGCUGCCGCCGUUGCCACCCAAGCCCACCUUCGGCGAUUUCCUCGCGGCUGCGCUCUGGAAAUCCAUGCAGAGCAAGGCCCUAGUGGUUGAGGCCGUCCCUGUCUCCGUCGCGGUCCCGGAGGCACAGAAGCCGGAGGUGAUGGAGGUGGAUCAGAAGAAGACCUCCCCACGUAAGCCGGAGAUGUCCAAGAAGGUCCGGAAGGUUGCCAAGCUCGCCGUGCAGUCGCUGAAGACGUACUACGGCGACCGGGCAUACCGUUUCCUGUUCGACGCCGUCGCAGACUUCUUCGCCGCGCUCCUCACCUCGGACCUCGAACAGCUUUCCCACGGCGGGAAGACGAUGAAGAUCGGGCUCGCCGCCAAGUGGUGUCCCACGCCGGGCUCGUCGUUCGACCGCACCACGCUGCUCUGCGAGGCCAUCGCUCGUCGCCUCUUCCCGCGCGACUCUGACCCCGAGUACGCCCAACUCUCGGACGAGCACUACACGUACUGCGCCCUCCACCGCCUCCGCCGUCAGGUGCUCGUGCCGCUGCGCAAGGUCCUGAAGCUUCCGGAGGUGUACAUGAGCGCGCAGCGGUGGUCCGAGCUCCCCUACACUCGAGUGGCCUCGGUGGCCAUGAGGCGCUACAAGUUCCUGUUCAAGAAGCACGACGAGGUGCGCUUCGGCAGGUACCUGGAUGACGUGAAGGCCGGCAAGGCCAAGAUCUCGGCGGGCGCGCUCCUGCCACACGAGAUCGCCGCGGCCGCACUCCGUGGCCAGGAGGACGACGUCUCGGAGCUUCAGUGGCGCCGCAUGGUGGAGGACCUCCGCUCCAAGGGGUUGCUGCGCAACUGCAUCUCCGUCUGCGACGUGUCCGCCAGCAUGGAUGGCAAGCCGAUGGAGGUGUGCAUCGCGCUGGGGGUGCUCACGUCGGAGCUCAGCGAGAGGCCGUGGAAGGGCAAGGUGAUCACGUUCCAUUCAAGGCCCUCGAUCCACCUGAUCAAAGGCAAUACCCUGCGGGAAAAGAUGAAGUUCGUGGAGCGCUUGGAGUGGGGCGGGAGCACCAACUUCCAAGGGGUGUUUGACCAGAUCCUCUGCACGGCCGUGGACGCCGGACUCGCGCCGGAGAAGAUGAUCAGGACCGUGUUCGUGUACAGCGACAUGGAGUUCAACAUGGCGUCAGGCGCCUACUACGGCGGGGAACCGUCGUGGGACAGUGACUACGAGGUGAUCUGCAAGAAGUUCAGGGCCGCCGGCUACGGCGACGUGGUGCCGCAGAUCGUCUUCUGGAACCUGCGCGACUCCAGUUCGAUGCCGGUGACGUCGACCCAGCCCGGGGUGGCCAUGGUGAGCGGCUUCUCCAAGAACAUCCUCAAGAUCUUCCUGCAGAAUGACGGCGUGGUGAACCCCGAGGCCAUCAUGAUGCAGGCCAUCGCCGGCGACGAGUACCAGAAGCUGGCCGUGUUCGACUAG
This 2085-nucleotide ribosomal RNA is filed under the name Triticum aestivum (bread wheat). RNAcentral's name for it is "partial small subunit ribosomal RNA". The record is from RNAcentral. Lineage: Eukaryota; Viridiplantae; Streptophyta; Magnoliopsida; Poales; Poaceae.